GUGCAGCAGGCGAGAAAACUUCACACUGUGUCGAAAGCACGAUGAGGGAAUCCCAAGUGCCAGCUCGUAAGAGUUGGCUGUUUUUCUGUCUAAAACACAGAGAGAGUAAGAGCUGGGUAAGACGGGUGCCAGCCGCCGCGGUAAUACCUGCAGUUCGAGUGGUGACCGUUAUUAUUGGGCCUAAAACGUCUGUAGCCGGUUUAGUAAAUGCCUGGGUAAAUCGUGUAGCUUAACUAUACGAAUUCCGGGUAGACUGCUAAACUUGAGACCGGGAGAGGCUAGGGGUACUCCUGGGGUAGAGGUGAAAUUCUGUAAUCCUGGGGGGACCACCAGUGGCGAAGGCGUCUAGCUAGAACGGAUUUGACGGUGAGGGACGAAGCCCUGGGGCGCAAACCGGAUUAGAUACCCCCGUAGUCC
RNAcentral lists this ribosomal RNA (417 nucleotides) under uncultured euryarchaeote. RNAcentral describes it as "bacterial SSU rRNA". It matches the Rfam family "Archaeal small subunit ribosomal RNA", at positions 330 to 747 of the family's 1478-position model. Lineage: Archaea; Methanobacteriati; Methanobacteriota. The record is from RNAcentral.